RNAcentral lists this ribosomal RNA (375 nucleotides) under uncultured eukaryote. Its description in RNAcentral is "SSU rRNA". It matches the Rfam family "Eukaryotic small subunit ribosomal RNA", at positions 587 to 972 of the family's 1831-position model. The record is from RNAcentral.
AGCUCUGUAAGCGUAUACCAAAGUUGUUGCAGUUAAAACGCUCGUAGUCGAAUUUUGGUGAUUGUUACUGAGACUCCUACUGGAUGUUGAUGUAUCGUCGCCUUUGUGGAGGGGGGUGUGGUGUUACUUAAUUGUAUUGCUGCAUUUCCGCCACUUUUUACUGUGAAAAAAUUAGAGUGUUCAAAGCGAGCGUUUGCCAUGAAUACAUUAGCAUGGAAUAAUAGAAUAGGACCUGGUCCUGUUUUAUUGGUUUGUCAGUAUCAGGUAAUGAUUAACAGGGACGGUCGGGGGCAUUUGUAUUCCAGCGCUAGAGGUGAAAUUCUUGGAUUGCUGGAAGACAAACAGCUGCGAAAGCGUCUGCCAAGGACGUUUUCA